RNAcentral lists this unclassified non-coding RNA (348 nucleotides) under soil metagenome. RNAcentral's name for it is "partial contains 5.8S ribosomal RNA, internal transcribed spacer 2, and large subunit ribosomal RNA". The stretch from base 1 to 120 matches the Rfam family "5.8S ribosomal RNA", at positions 35 to 154 of the family's 154-position model. The record is from RNAcentral.
GAUUAAGAACGUAGCGAAAUGCGAUAAGUAAUGUGAAUUGCAGAGUUCAGUGAAUCAUCGAAUCUUUGAACGCACAUUGCGCCCGCCAGUAUUCUGGCGGGCAUGCCUGUCUGAGCGUCAUUUCAACCCUCAUGCCCCUAGGGCGUGGUGUUGGGGAUCGGCCAAAGCCCGCGAGGGACGGCCGGCCCCUAAAUCUAGUGGCGGACCCGUCGUGGCCUCCUCUGCGAAGUAGUGAUAUUCCGCAUCGGAGAGCGAUGAGCCCCUGCCGUUAAACCCCCAACUUUCCAAGGUUGACCUCAGAUCAGGUAGGAAUACCCGCUGAACUUAAGCAUAUCAAUAAGCGGAGGA